CGGCGUGCUUAACACAUGCAAGUCGAGCGGUAAGGCCUUUCGGGGUACACGAGCGGCGAACGGGUGAGUAACACGUGGGUGAUCUGCCCUGCACUUCGGGAUAAGCCUGGGAAACUGGGUCUAAUACCGGAUAUGACCUCCUAUCGCAUGGUGGGUGGUGGAAAGAUUUAUCGGUGCAGGAUGGGCCCGCGGCCUAUCAGCUUGUUGGUGGGGUAAUGGCCUACCAAGGCGACGACGGGUAGCCGACCUGAGAGGGUGACCGGCCACACUGGGACUGAGACACGGCCCAGACUCCUACGGGAGGCAGCAGUGGGGAAUAUUGCACAAUGGGCGAAAGCCUGAUGCAGCGACGCCGCGUGAGGGAUGACGGCCUUCGGGUUGUAAACCUCUUUCAGCAGGGACGAAGCGCAAGUGACGGUACCUGCAGAAGAAGCACCGG
RNAcentral lists this ribosomal RNA (439 nucleotides) under actinobacterium BAL71. RNAcentral's name for it is "bacterial SSU rRNA". It matches the Rfam family "Bacterial small subunit ribosomal RNA", at positions 40 to 496 of the family's 1533-position model. Lineage: Bacteria; Bacillati; Actinomycetota; Actinomycetes. The record is from RNAcentral.